RNAcentral lists this ribosomal RNA (238 nucleotides) under uncultured bacterium. Its description in RNAcentral is "partial 16S ribosomal RNA". It matches the Rfam family "Bacterial small subunit ribosomal RNA", at positions 96 to 334 of the family's 1533-position model. The record is from RNAcentral.
UGGCGGACGGGUGAGUAACGCGUGGGUAACCUGCCUCAUACAGGGGGAUAACAGUUAGAAAUGACUGCUAAUACCGCAUAAGACCACAGCACCGCAUGGUGCAGGGGUAAAAACUCCGGUGGUAUGAGAUGGACCCGCGUCUGAUUAGGUAGUUGGUGGGGUAACGGCCUACCAAGCCGACGAUCAGUAGCCGACCUGAGAGGGUGACCGGCCACAUUGGGACUGAGACACGGCCCAA